UAAAAAUACCUUUUCAUAAAAUCUUUUUUUCAAAAAUAUUGUUUGCAACUUUUGCAACCUCAUCUGCAACUCCAGGCGGCGCCAGCCGUGUUGCAACCUCUUUUGCAACUUCAUACGCAACCGAAUAUAUAUAUCGAUUCCGAAAAUGAGGUCGAAAAUGACAUUUGAAAACUGGAACUCGAAAUCAGGAUUUGUAAUUGCAUAUAUGGUUGCAUAUGGUUGUAUUCAGUUGCAUAUGGUUGCAUUCAGUUGAUUCUAUUGUAAUCUAAUGGUCCCGCCAGGGGCACACCAUACAUCUGUUGUUACUUACAGUUUUCAGUUGCAUUUAGUUGCAACUGCGGUUGCAAAAGUUGCAACUGCAGUUGCAACCUCAUUUGCAACUUUUGCAACUUACAGUUUUCAGUUGAACUAGUUGCAAUUGCAGUUGCAACUGUUGCAACUUUCCAUUUUUAUUUGCAACUUUUGCAACCUCAUUUGCAACUUUUGCAACCUCAUUUCCAUUUUUAUUUGCAACUUUUGCAACCUCAUUUGCAACUUUUACGGCUGCGCCGCCCAAGGUUGCAAAUGAGGUUGCAAAGGUUGCAAAUCGUAUUUUUGAAAAAAAAAAUUUAUGAAAAGGUAUUUUUAAAAACAAUGAAAAAGAUGGUAGUAUUUUUAAAAAAAUAAUUUUACAGAUGGGUAUUUUUAAAAAGAUCCCAAAAAAGAAUGGAACCUCCAAAAAAAAUUGUAAAAAAACUAGAGGGACAUAGAGUAUUAUUUUGAAGUGGAGCAACAAUCCGGUAAAUCAAUUUGGGCUUUUUAGAGCAUCUAUCAAAGGAUAUUUGGGGAUUAGGCUUUGUAUUUGGGUCGGGUUCGGUUUAGGAAUUGUCCACUUUGGUGAUUCGUUUGCCUGGAAUGGAAAUCUCUCCUGUUGUACACGGGGUGAUCAUUCUUUCUGUUGGCUCCUUGACUUUCUUGGCCUUCUUUUAUGCUGCAAUUUUAUCUAACUUGAUUCCACCAUCUCAAAAUCAAUUUGCAGCAGCCAUUCAAAAUGACAGGUGAUAUAUUCCUCCAGUUCAACAUUUUCUGAUUCUGUUGCAUCUAAGCUUGACCCAUUCUUUAAUUAUGUUGUUGCAUCUUGUCUUGAGUUCUGUAAUUAUGAUACCUCUUCUAAGAUUUUAGUAAAGCUAUGAUUCUACCUGAUUUUAAUAUUAGAAUGGAGGUUGAAUCUAGUAACAUUCAAGAGAUAAUCCACAGAGAGAAGAUAAGGGAAAGAAGAGAACAAAGUUGGUUACAAAAUGAUUGUCUGCUACUCUCCUACCAUUCUGCAUAAUGGUCUUUCUUGGCUACUACUCUAACAGAAAUAAACAUGCUGUUACUGAAUAAUGCUAAUCAUUUAUUUUUGCAUUAGUAGAAUCAGAAUGUGAUUACGUUUCUGAUAAACCAUGAAGACAAAUAAAAUAUGCUGAUAAAAAAGGAAAGUGAAGCAGGUUAAAUGUUGCUUUGUGAUCCUCAUUCGCUAGUAGUAAGAAAAUUCUCAGUAGAAGAGUGUUAUAACGCUUUUCAAAAAGUAUAGGACUAAUGGACUAUACUGGCAAGUAUUUGAUUGGUGUUUAUAGCUUGCGAUUUUGUUUUGUUACAGUCUUCAGCUUUCUUCGUUUUACUUAAUAAGGAUGGCAGCUCAGUUCCCUAAAUCCUUGCACUUUUCAUAUAUCGUAUGUUCUAUAAUAUUCCAAAUAAUAUCAUCAUCUUCUGCUUCUCUUUCUCUCUUCCGAAUUUUAACCUCUGCUUCUUAUUAUGGCAGAUAUUAUUGCUUCUUGGUGCCGUUGACCCUUCCGAUUAUUAUUGUUGCGGUUUAUUUUCAUUGGCUUAACAUGAAACUCUUCAAGCAUGCCUGACUCCUUCGCUAAUUUUAGUGGAAAUUUUUUGGUUCUUUAUGUGUGUGAGAAAUCCUGUGAUCCCUCUGUAAGUUGUUUGUUGGAAAAUUGGCCAUUGAAUAGCAUUGUAACAAAAUCAUAGAUAUGUUCUGGCCUUCUGGCCUCUGGGCAUAUAGAAUAUGUUAGUUUUUUUGCUGGCAAAGUAUAGUACUUCAAAUAUACUGUAACAAAAUCAUAGCCAUGUUUCGGCAUAUAGAAGUAAUAUAGUUUAGCAUGUUUUCUUAUAUCGAUAUAGUUCUUUUAAUUACUAGCUAAUAAUGCUUUUUGAUAUGCUAGUUUUUUAUAGUUACUUGGGAGCAUUUUCCUCUUUGAAUGGUGAAGAAUAUUGUUUUUCGAAACUGAUGAUCCCACCAGUGCUUUAUACUUCUAUGUUAUUGCGAUGAUGGAAGGUCAUCUUCUUUUUCCAAAGGAAAAAUGAUAAAAAGGCAUCUGUCCAAAUGCAGUAACUUUAAUAACUAUUAAAACAUAAUAAUGUUUGGUGUUCUUUCUUACAAAUUACAAUCAUAAUAACCGUUUAUUGUGCUGCAUAUAUAUAGAAUAUUUACAGGAACUAAGGUCAUAGGCCUUAGUAGGGUUCAUUCUUUGUCCGCCUUUUCUUACAGCUAUUGAUAAUAAGCCUUCAGAUGAGGUUAUAAAACCAGGAUUCUGUAUCAACCCUAAUAAGCUUGCAAAGAUUCUUAGUGCCUACAACCUCGAGAGAGUAGAAGAAAUCAAUGGAGUUAAAGGAAUUGCUAAUGCUCUAAAUGCCUCACGGGAUGAGGGUGUUAAAGUGGAUAAUUUGUCUAGGCGACAAGAGAUUAUGGCUUCAGCACAUACAGUGAGAAACCUUCUAAGAGGUUUUGAUUGUUUGUAUGGGAUGUGGCUACAGUUAUUGGCUUUGUUAUCAGUUUGGUCUUUUCCGUGGUUACAUUUUUUAAGUUGACAGUUAUAUAUGUGGUGGAAAAAAGCAUUUGGCCAAGAGUUUACAAGUUGGUCUUCUGUUGAUGCACUGAAGCUUUUGGAUUACUUUGCGACUUCUGUAAGUAUAAUUGUAGGUUCUGUUCCAGGACUGCCUCUGGCAGUGAAGCUAAGCCUUGCAUUUGCAAUGGAAAAAUUAAUGGGUCCCGGGGCAGUACCAUUUCUUUUGCAGGCUAUAUUUCAGAAUACCAGUGCAGAGGUGACUCUUAACCUCUACCGACAGAUUAACAGUAACUUGUUUCUGUUAAUUAUCUUUUCUUAACACGGAGCCAAAUUGAGUUGGGUGUUUUACAUUAUCAAAGGAUGUGUAAGAACGAGUAUGUGCUUGGAGAAGAUAUAUGUCACUUGAAAUUUGAUUGUAAUAAUCGAAUCAGCAAAAUAUAGUCGACCUUACCAACUAUUAUCUGAAGGUUGCAGUGUGCAAUUGUUCUUGGAACCUUACUGUCUGUUCCUCUAGUAUUCAGACGAAUCUAUCAAAAAGUUUAUCCCGUCGACUGCUUCGUAGAGUUUAGCAACCAAUCACAAUUCAUUCAAGAAAUAAAUUAGAGUCUAGCAUUCAGUGCAUGGUUUGCGUUGCAUCCAUGUCAGACCACUACCAGUAUCAGCAACUGCCAGGAAGUCUACAGGGGGUGUUACAGCAGAUUUUCAUGAGGUGUUCUCCAGGGUCUGCUGUUGACGGAGAUGAAGCAAAUUUUGGUGCACGAUGCGAGAAGUUCUGGCCGUUGAGGGGUGAAGUGAGUUGCGAAAAUUUGCAUAGUGUUUGAUGAAGUGGAGAAUCGCGAUGAAUUAAGUUGAUACCAAGCCAAAAGAACUUGUUUGAAGUGAAGAAUCUCCUCAUAUCUGGAAGCCGGAAGCCUUGCUUGAACAUAUGGAAACUAAUUCAAACAAAUAAACAAGUUUUCAUUUCAUUAAAAUGCAGGGUUUAAAUUUUUGUCAUAUACAGAACUUAAAUGAUUGCCAUUGCUCUAAUAUUUCUUAUUCCUUCAAGCUAAAAAAGUAUGAUAUUGUGUCUAUAUGUAACUAGUGGCCUUCAGAUGCAGUAACAAAGUUCUGGUUCACUUUCAGGUCCUUGUAAAAUGUAUAGGGGGUGUUUGGUUAGCUUUUUUUACCUCUUAUAAGGUGAUACCACAAUAACUGUCUUAAAAAGAGUAUGAUAUCUUAUAAUUUAUAUAUAGUAUGUAUUAUCACUACAAGUCUGCAUAAAAUUUACACUUCCGAAGGAUAUUGCAAUAACAGGACAAGAACCAUUUUUAGAGUUGACAACUUUUUUCCUCUUCAAAUCAAGAGAACAGCGACAAGUUCAUGACUCGACAGAUAUGUCUGCAGUCCUCUCUUCAGUUAUUUUCCUCGGAGAUGCUUUCUGUUUCUCAGUUCCCGGUUUAAACAGAUCCUUGGGUUUGCAAUUGCCAUUAUCAUUCCGCCUAGGAUUCUUGUUUCUAAUGUUGUUGGCAGUAUUAGUACCUUCUCUGACAGUGCCAAGGCUGCGUCGAUUUCCACGGGGACAUGAUCCCUUUUCGACUGAUGACUUGACAGCAUCCCCACAACUUCUUCUCCGGGUUAAGUUUGGUGAUUUAGGACGGGUUAAGUUUGGUGAUUUAGGACGCGUCACUGGCAACUGGAAUCAAACGAACUACUUAGUGAAAUUCUGUAUGAGAUAAAUGAUAAAUGUGUAGGUAUGACAUGAAAAACGGAAUAAGCUGGGAUGACUUAAUUGCUAAAGUAUAGAAAGGGGCUAUGCAAUGCCCAUUCAUCUGCGAAAAUAUUCGGAUGUAUCACAAGCUUAUUCGAUGAAUAAUAAACAAUAUAGAGCUUUCACAUUUAAUGAACUGGUCUUUCUUCGGAAUUAUAGUGUGCAUGUUUGGCUGGGUUUUCUAGCAAGUGAGAAUUAACUUAUUUGUACCGUUUGUAUAUAACUCAUAAGUUACUUUCUGACUUGAUAAGUUGAAAUCCGAGAAGUUGAAAAUUCUAAAAAAAAAUUGACUUAUUUUGAUUUUUGAAGUUUGAUUUUAUACAUAUAUUAUCACUUUAAAAGAUAAUUUGAAAUAUUUUAUUAUUAUAUUAUACAAGUUUUAUACCUAAUAAGUUGUAAAUUAAAAUAAAUCUAUCCAAACAAAAAAUUAAAAUUUACUUCUCGCACUUAUAAGCAAUACGUAACUUCUUUUUAAACUAACCCAAACGGCCCUAUAAUAUAUAAAUGUAUCAUAAUAGAGAAUACAAAUAUAUUUCCUCUAUAGGGUGCUGAGGCACAGUGUCAGGUGAACGUCCCUGCCACCUGUUACUCUCUAUAUAAGCAACACAAGCAUUUAUCACUUGUUAUCAAUUGCAAGCAUGUAUAAAUUCAAACAUAUACAUAUAGGGAGAGAAAACUGCAUAAUCUUUUAAAGGUUACACAAUGUAUAUUCAUCAUUUGUAAGAGUUUACUUUCAGCCUUUACUUGUACAACACACUGUUGAAUGUAGUUUAAAAUCCAAUUAGCACCGCCUUCUAGUACCUUAAGCUUUUGGGAGAGUUGAUUACUAAACACACACAAUUCUCAUACCAACUCAUCACUACUAUCUCAUAGUAACUACACAUAAGACAAGAUGAUAGUCCUUAGUGAGGUUAAUUCGACUCAACUGCAGAAAACAAUCAUCUACAGUUUAAAUAAGUAUCCAGGGAAGACAUAAAAAAUACCCCUCCUAUUCCAUCUUUAGGUGCACAAGAAACACCAAGCGAGAGAUCUAUAUUGCAGUUGAAUACAUUAUAUGUAUGCACCGCGUGUAUGUAUAUCUCUCUGUGUGUGUGUGUGUGUGUGUGUGUGUGUAACAGGGCAUAUGCUUUGUAUAUGUUAAUUUUUUCUUUUAAGAAGCGACCAGCAGUUUAAUUUAUUUAAGAAAGCACCAAACUCAAACAAAAAGAAUUGCGUAAAAGAAGUACCUUCUUUGGCUCAACCUUUGGGGGAGGACCUUCACGAUAAAAGCUAGGAACUGGUUUUGCUUUAACAACCAUGUUCUGUCGGAGCUGCUUGAUAGCUGCUGCUUGCUCCUCCUAUUUUUACCGUAUUGAAUGAAGAAACAAGUUAAGAUUGGGUUGCUAAUAUAUAUCAUGAUUCCAUUACUAUACCAUGUCUAAUCUUUCAGAUGGUAAAAAUGUACCUUCAUUCUUGCUUCAUAUUCCUUCUUUUCUGCUUCCAGAGCUUUGUGUUUUUCCUCCAACUUUUUGUAGAACUAAAAAGAAAAGAGUGAAUCAGGAAUGAGGAGAAAAAUAUGCCCUGCAAACUAAACCAAAAGAGCAGGGGACACAAAUGAAACAGAAUUUACAAAACGAAAAAAUAUUGAAGUUACCUCUUGACGUUUUGCGGCACGUUCAGCAGAUGAGAAUGUGGGUGCUACAGGGACGGUCACCGAUCUGACUGUCCGAACAGAGGCUGCAGCACUAAGCUUCGCUAAGGAUAUCAAAACAAAGAUAUAUAAAAAAUAAUUAUGAAAUUUAAGAGAGAAAUGAAUAUAAUGGAGAAAUAUGUCAAUUGAAAAGGAUACGAGGAAGCCAGCGACCAAUUAUCCUCAUCAUCGUGAAAUUUUCUAUGAUAGGGUUGUUGUGGCUUCUUUGCACUUGAACGAGAAGGCAACUAAUAAAACAUUAAUAAUCCCACGGUCAGCAUCCAUAAAUCCAGACAGUAAUAUGAACUCAGUGUCAAGAUUUCCUUAUAAAUCUUUUUACUACUCAAUGAUGUUCAUUUACCACAUCUAUUAUGGUAGACAUCAUUCUACUACGAUACAAUCCAGUUUCUAGUUGAAUUUACUAUUGCAUAUAUGACUAGAUAUUUGUGCUUCACAAUUAUGCAUAAGCAUUCACAUAGUCUCCGUUUCCUUUCUUUUUCGUUUCCAUUUAGAGUUAACAACAGAAAAAACAAUAAAUUAUUAAACGUGGCCAGUGAAAUCAAAGAGGAGUUUACUUUCAAAAACUCAGAGAAAUAUUAGAAGAGUUUAAGGCAAACCUCUAAAUGUUCUGGAUCCUUGGGGGAGUGAAAAUCUUUUAUGCUUGGUGAAAAAUUGGCAUCAGAAUCAGCAGUUGAAAUUGAGGCUUGUUUCUCAGUCUUAUCACUAGAAGAAUGAGAAACCUUGGAAUCUGAUGGGAAAUUGUCAGCAGCUAAAGAACCUGAGACAGGUCUGAUUGGUGAGGUGGAAGUCUUUUCACUUGACUUCUGGAUUUCAGGUUUCUGGGAUUUCUCCUCAGGAGUACCAACCUCACUGUUUAUGCUUUUGAUACCUAAUAAAUCUUGCUUCUCCUGACCUUCAUCAAGCAAAUCUUCAGCAGUAUGAUUCUCUACCACAGUGCUCUCAGUUUCACCACUUUCACUUGUAACUUGGGGAGCUGUAUCAUGUGAGAUACCAUUUGACUUGACGGUGUGACCAUGAGGUUUUUUAUCGAUACGGAUACCUGUAAUGUCCUUCCCCAUCACCCUGCCUAAGAAAAAUAAAGGUGAUACAAUUCUUUAGUCAGAAAUAUGUUAUCAAGCUUAUCUUUUUCUAAAAAGAGCAUGCAAAAAAGACUUAAAAGUCCAUAACCAUUGAUGUCUCCAGGAAAUAGGUUGAUUAUAUUAAAUUUGUACAUAAAGACAAGUACAUCACUUGGCGUUUGUGUGAGUAUUAUAUAUACAGGUUGAUGAAAACCCAUAGGCCGUAACUGAAUCACUGUCUAAAAUUUUAUCCAUACGAAGGUGCCAGAGUCAUGUUUCAUACAGAGCAUAAGAUUGAGUUUGAGGACAGAGCUUAAUUCAAAGUUUAAAACUAGUCAAGUUUUUACUUAUUGUGCCAGAGGCGGACUCAAGUGUUGAUAAAACCGAGUUUUGCAAGCCUUUCGAUCUACUGCUAAAAAAUUCAAGUUUAAUUUUGGACCUGCCCACUAAGAUAAGUAAUACUAUUCAAACACACCACUGAGCUUGCCAAAAUAAGCUAAGUUUGUAUUGAGCUGGUACAGAACUCAGAUCGACCCGAAUUGAUUAUCAAACUAAUAUCCCAAAAACAGUUUGUUGGAAAAAAGCUCGGAGCCAGAUGAGUUGGAAUCACAGCCUCCCGUUUGAAUGUAUAAUGAGUAAGAGUAGAUCAUAUAUAAUGUGAACAGCAUCUAAUGGCAUAAAAAAACAGAAUCUCAAUUGUAAGUUUGCUGUCAUUCUCAAGAUGUAAACACACAUGUCUAAAUUAUAUGCCACACAAUAAUAAAAUGAGGUUGAUGGGUUAAGCAAAUUCCCAACUGAAUACGCAUGCUCAAACCCCAACUCACAGAUACACAAUCACCCCUUGUUCAUAAAUCAUAAUAACAAAAAAAAAAAACUCAAUUUUUCCUCAGCACAAUCAUAUAAAAAUUAAAACUUCGAAGCAAAAAACAAGAAAAUCAACCACAACAAGAAGAAAAUUAGUAUUAAAAAAAAACCCAGAUGAAAACAAGAGCAAGAAAAGGUGUAACAUAAAGAAGAUUGAAUCUUGGAGAGCAGAAAUGAAGGAACAGGCAGCAGAGAUGAAGCAAGAUGAAAAGAAAAGAGGGGUUUCUUACAGUAAGCUCCUACAGCUGCCGCUGUUGUUUCCGAUCUGAUGUACACGAGGAGAGAAUUAUAUAUAGGAAUAGAAAAACCCCAAAUAACAACAACGUGAACCCACCUCUCCCUCUCUCCCUCUCUCUCUUUUUCUCUCUCGCUGGUGGUUUAAAUUGAUGUCUGGUUAGUCACCAAUCUCGAUACCGUUAAUCUCGCAGGUAACUAGUACGAGUAAUAUAUACUAGUACUAGCCGGUACACCCAAUUUAUACGUACACACUCGCACAAUACAUACACGUUUUAUGUAAUGCUUUUUUCUGUCGCUAACGGACAUUUCCUACGAGCUGACGGCGUAGGAAAUUUAAUACUCCCUCCGUUUCAAUUUACAUGUCCACUUUGAAGAAAUUUUUUUGUUUCAAAUUACUUGUCCACUUCAACUUUCAAUGCAAAAUCAUAUUUCCAAAGUCAAUUCUACACCACAUAUCUCUUAUUUAUAUUUCCUAGAUCAAUCUCACUCCACAUAUUUUGAUCAUUUAAUGCAAUUAAUUUGUGUACAUCCACUUUUCUUAAACUGUGUGAUUUUUUUAAAGUGGACAUCUAAUUUGAAACGGAGGUAGUAAGUGAAAAUGAAGUAAAAUUAUGUAACUCAGAUACUUAAAGAAAAUUCUACACUGACAAGUGUAUCUUCUUGCUUUAGCUUUUAUUUAUCAUCUAAAAUUCAAAACCG
This 9111-nucleotide long non-coding RNA is filed under the name Daucus carota (carrot). Its description in RNAcentral is "long non-coding RNA (DCAR_LNC001371)". Lineage: Eukaryota; Viridiplantae; Streptophyta; Magnoliopsida; Apiales; Apiaceae. The record is from RNAcentral.